Molecule: ribosomal RNA, 600 nt
Filed under: Trichoderma citrinoviride
Lineage: Eukaryota; Fungi; Ascomycota; Sordariomycetes; Hypocreales; Hypocreaceae
Description: eukaryotic LSU rRNA
Rfam family: Eukaryotic large subunit ribosomal RNA
Source: RNAcentral
UCUGGCCCUUUUGGGUCCGAGUUGUAAUUUGUAGAGGAUGCUUUUGGCAAGGUGCCGCCCGAGUUCCCUGGAACGGGACGCCACAGAGGGUGAGAGCCCCGUCUGGCUGGCCACCGAGCCUCUGUAAAGCUCCUUCGACGAGUCGAGUAGUUUGGGAAUGCUGCUCAAAAUGGGAGGUAUAUGUCUUCUAAAGCUAAAUAUUGGCCAGAGACCGAUAGCGCACAAGUAGAGUGAUCGAAAGAUGAAAAGCACCUUGAAAAGAGGGUUAAAUAGUACGUGAAAUUGUUGAAAGGGAAGCGCUUGUGACCAGACUUGGGCGCGGCGGAUCAUCCGGGGUUCUCCCCGGUGCACUUCGCCGUGUCCAGGCCAGCAUCAGUUCGUCGCGGGGGAAAAAGGCUUCGGGAACGUGGCUCCCCUGGGAGUGUUAUAGCCCGUUGCAUAAUACCCUGCGGUGGACUGAGGACCGCGCAUCUGCAAGGAUGCUGGCGUAAUGGUCACCAGCGACCCGUCUUGAAACACGGACCAAGGAGUCGUCUUCGUAUGCGAGUGUUCGGGUGUCAAACCCCUACGCGUAAUGAAAGUGAACGCAGGUGAGAGCUU